Molecule: RNA transcript, 5597 nt
Organism: Colletes gigas
Lineage: Eukaryota; Metazoa; Arthropoda; Insecta; Hymenoptera; Colletidae
Gene: tmod
Gene name: tropomodulin
Exons: 11
Source: RefSeq, a predicted model, not a curated record
AAUCUAUUUUCGCCGUUGAAAGGCGCGCGGGAACACGGUUCGCGGCGGGUUUCUCGAACCGCGGUGCUUUAGUACGGCCAGUCUCUCCGCUACGCGCAGAACUUCGCCAAUCCCGGAAUAGUUUUCGGGUAGUUGCUCGUCGGGAGUUUUUUUGCCGUCGUAGGGGGGGCCAGAUUACGGUCGCUUCGGGGCGUGUUUGCCCACGGAUUCCACGUCGUUCGGCGCCCAGAACGUCGGCGACCCGCUAGCCUCGGUUCGAGAUCGGUAACUAAAGGUUUAGAGCCCGAACAUCGUGUUCGUACGGUGUUCCGAUCGUUCGCGCUGGAGGUAGACACGGAAAACGCGACGAUGGAUGCCGCGGACGUCCUCGGCACCGACGCCACAUCGCCCGACGAAGGGAUUGUAAACAACAACAACAACGAGGACGAUGAGGCGCCCACCGUCGAGGAAACUUACGAGGUCACAACCACGAAACGCAAGACCGUUAGGACCAGCUAUAAGAUCCAAGAAACUUCUGCAUCAACCAAAACAACCACAAUGACAACCGCAGCAAAGUUGUAUGGGAAAGACUUGAGUGAAUAUGACGAUGUUGAUGUGGAUGAACUGUUGUCACAACUUACCCCGGAAGAAAUUAAUAUGCUGGCCAAGGAAGUGGAUCCUGAUGAUAGCUUUAUGCCUCCCUCGGAACGUUGUAGCUAUGAAUGUGACAAGAGUCCAACAGGUCCCUUAAAUCGUAAGAAACUAAUCGAACAUAUCAACAAACAGGCUUUAGAGACACCAGAUAUACCAGAAUUGAAACCUUUUGUACCUGGUGUUAUUAGAGGCAAAAAGUGGAUUCCACCUCCUCAAGAAUCUGUAAAAGAGAAAGAAGCAGACGAACAAAUUGCUAUUGAUCUUGGAGAAGAGUACGAGCAAGCAUUAUCUAAUGCCACUCAAGAAGAAAUCAUUGAUCUUGCCGCUAUUCUCGGAUUCCAUUCCAUGAUGAAUCAGGACCAAUAUCAUGCCUCGCUAUUAAAUUCUGGUCAGCCCAUUGGUAUGGGUUGGGAUGGAGUUACAAAAGCUAGUCAACCAAAACCUUACCCAAUGGAACCACCCAAUGAUACAGACAUCGACGCCACUAUCAAACAAGUUCGAGAAGACGAUGCUUCGUUAACCGAUUUAAAUUGGAACAAUAUUAAAAAUAUAUCCGACGAAAAGUUUAUUCAAUUAUUUGAAGGACUGGAGAUGAAUACUCAUCUUGAAACCUUAAGUUUAACAAAUGUGGGACUUACUGAUAAGACUGCGCAAAGGUUGGCAGAAGCCUUAGAGAAAAAUUCUACGCUCAGAGUACUCAAUGUGGAAACAAACUUUAUAAGUCCAUCUGUGAUAGUGAGGCUCAUCAGGGCACUUCUUAAAACGAAAUCAAUAGAAGAAUUUCGAUGUUCCAAUCAGAGGUCACAAGUGUUGGGAAACAAAAUUGAAAUGGAAAUCACACAGUUGGUAGAACAAAAUCCAACGUUGCUUCGACUUGGUCUUCACUUGGAAUUCAAUGACGCCAGACAUCGUGUAGCUGCACACUUGCAACGCAACAUUGAUAGGAUACGGAAAGACCUAACGCUGCGGCUACAGUUCCGAUUCUUUAACAUGAACCACAGGAAACCUGCCUUGAUUCAAUGAAAGUACGGCAGUCCCGGCUCGGGGUGGCGACAUCUUAACGCGAAGUGGCGUUCGCCUAGAUCGGCUGCACCGCAUGGGAAGGUCUUCCCGCAACUAUACCAUCGGCUGGGCCCUUCAUCGAUGAUCAACCGUGCCCACGAAACCGACAGCAACGACUACGACCACGACUUCGACAGCGACAACGACGAUCCGGUAAUCGUAAUCGACGAUGCAAGAAACGGGAGAUCGAACGAUGAUUUUCGAUUCGUAAACCCUCCGGUUCCGUACUGGCCGGUUGCCACGAAGGAACGACGAAAUCGCUCAAAACGGUUCGAGAAGUAUAGAAAAUUAAUAGAGAAAACAUGGGUCAGAGAAUGAAUUUUUAGACGUUUUUGUAAGCUCGUGUAAUUUUAACGGGCACACGUUCGCGGUUCGAUCGAGUGGGAGACGAUUCUGCGUCUAAAAGUACGUGGAAUAUUUGCUGUGAAAUUUAUGUUGAAUUUUCGGGGAGACCGCGUCCGACCAUAUCUCGAUAUUACUACUUGGAAUGUUAGUGAACGUCGGUGGCGUCAUUUUCCUGGCAAUUUUUACAUCUUUUGACUCGUUUUUGUCAUUUUAGCGGUCUUCCCGUUCGACACGGAUUCAAUUUUAUUUUCGAACAAAGUUCUUCGGGGACUGUUUUUGUCAAUUCGUUGAUAAUCGAACGCCAUCGAUUACUUUUUCACGCGGUCGAGUUCCGCGGUUUCGGUUUCGAAAACAGCCUAGCCGUUCCGUCGGCGCUUCCGGUUUCCCUUCCCAGCGCAUUCAGCCCGCCCGGAAGUGUCUCGUUUUCGCUACCGGACGCCGCGAAACCCGCUGAAUCGCACCUGACCGCUUCCUGCCGCGCGACCAGUACCCUCGCCUCGUCUCUCUUCGCAGGCCACCGCGCUUAAACGUCCCCGGGGUUCCGAUACUUUUGUUAUUUUUAUUCCCAUCCGUCUCAUCUUGGGUGUUGCCAGCUUCAAAGAGCAUAAAUCGAGCAGAAAGCCUUUCUUUACCUUGUUUUAUUGCCGUGGGCGCUUCAACGCGAACGGUUGCUUUUAUUCACGGUUUUAUUCGUUUUUACAAAGCGAAUCUAGAAAUAGGAAAGGUCGCCCAAAUUUUUAAAAAUACAUUCAAAUAUAUUUACCGAUUAUCCGAUGGUAAAAAUAUUUUAGUUUUAAAUUUGACUCAAAGAUUUGGUUCAAUGUGAGACGCGUUUUCGUCGUAAUUCCUCCGGCGUUUAUUUUAUGCUAAACGCGGGGAUUAACUCCUCGAUACGUCCGUGAAAUCCAGUUUCCGUAGAUGGCGUCCUCCCGGCCGAGGGGAACGUCGACGUUCACGAUUGAUUUGCGUCAUUCAGGCGGGCAAACGAAUCGUGCUCGUUCACGAGAUGCGAUUAUUUUCCCCGUUAAUCGCGUUCCCAUCAGUUUUCCUCGACGCUGAAAAACGCCCGACGCUCCGGAGCCUCGGAAGAUUCGAGCUGCUUCCGGUACAGGGGAUCCAAAUUCGCGAGGAAUCGACGAGUUCGCGUUGUUACCGCCACGUCUAAUUCGAUCAGUUCGAUAUACCCACGUAUCGUGUCGAGAUCGAUUUAAAAGAAGUUCGAAGUAGCUGUCGAAGUACAGAACAGCGCGAAUCGGGUCGAAAUAAUAUUUCGAUGACUGCAGAAAAGUUUUGGUAAUCAUUUUUGAAGACUUUCGUAACAUUUUUAAUUGAUAUCAAGCAAUCCUGUUAAACGCUACGUUUCUCGUUAGAUCAUUAAACUUAUUUCGUACUUGGAAAUUUCAAGGGAUCAGAGAAUUAAAUUCUUCUUUGGUCGUUAAUGUAAAAAUCACAAAUUACCGGAAAAUCUUUUUCGAAAAUAGCGUUCGCGUUUGACGUUUUCCACCAUCGAGCCACGUGACACGGUAUUACGGUGUCACGCGAAAGCUACUUCCAAACGAAUUUUUCAGCGACAAUAAGUGCUCGCGAGGUCGUUCAGAUUUCUCACUGAAAUAUUAUUUUUAUCCGACGUCGCCCAGGGCGGCCAUUCGAGGAACGGCUGACCAGGACUCUUUCGUGCAGUCGCGUCGAAUAUUGUCUGUAACCGAGAGAACGUUCUGAGAGGAUGGGAUUGGACGAAAGGGUGGGAGAGAAUGCGGGGGAGAACGUGAUAUAGACGGAAUCAUUUCUGUCGCCUUUGUCGUUUUAAAACGCGCCUCGCCGCGAAAACCCCAAAGGAGAAUUCGCAGCAUCGUGAGAUGCGAGGAAUUUACGAGUAAUAUUAAUAUAUAUCGCGAUCGUCACGAUCUUAAGCGAUCGUUACACGCUCGGAGGAAAGUUUACGAACUCGAAGACAUAUAUUUUCUGUGCCUAAUUCUGUUCCAAACGUGUCCUAAAACUAUUAAUCAGUAGCUAUCGUAUUUGCAAUUCAAGUACAACUUGAAUAUAAGCGUCUCUCAUAGCUAAGCGAGAGUUAUCGUACUCCUAAUCUACGUUUAAUCGCGAAGCAGACCUUUAUUAUAGACGAUCAUGAACUAAUGUAUUUAUAAUUUUUACCCAACUGGAAUCUAGCUCUGCCCAUAAUGCGGUUCUAAUUCUAUUCUGGCUUGAAUUUACAUUUCUCCUAAAUUUCGGGCUUAAUUUCCCAUCCGACUCUUGCAUGUACAUUACUAAGAGAAGACCUAAUUGAGGCCUAUUUAAUCACUGUCGUACGAGGCCUGUGCUCUUUACACUUUUCUCUGUUCCAUUAAUAUUUCUAUUCCUUCUAUUUCUCUCGACAGUUUAACUCGUAAAUUAAUUUCCAAUCCUUCAGUCGCGUUUUUAAUGUCAAGGUUCGGCUAUCGACUAAACGUUUUCACGGUAGUUGAUGUAAAUAUAGUCGAAUGUCGUGUGAAAACGUCGUGAUUCCCUCGAACAUGCUAUCGCUGCUAUCAAGAGAGUCUUCGUCGAGAUCGUUGAACGAUGUCUCGACACGAAAGGUCGCUUCUCCGUUUCGAUUCGAUUCAACUUUCGUCCGAGUCCCAGUCGAGCGAUCGGAGACGAUACUUCCUCGAAGGAGGAAUUUUUUAUCCACGAAUCGAGUUCAACGUAUCGUCCCCGAUCGCCUCGCUGUAAUAUUCGCUGAGACGCUAACGAAACGUUCUUUUAAUUAAUGAUUAUCCUCGAUCGGAGCUGGGCAAAAUUCGAUCGACCAACGCGAAGUAUUUCGUUUUACGAUCGAAACUUUUAUUUUUAUUUUAAAAUACGAAUUUUGCUCAUCUCUGGCCUCGAUAUCCGUCUGUAAAUAUUGUCUUCGCUGUCGUCUUUGAUAGUCCGCGACUCGCAUAACGAACAGAGAUCGGUAGAAUUUUAUUCGAACGACGAAUGAACUUAAACAACAUGCAGGAAUUUAUUCGAUCGAUUUUUUUAUCGAUUAAUAUAUCUAAUAUUUUGAGUGCUAGGGAAAUAUGUAGCAAAUAAUUUUUUUAAAAUAUGGAUCAGAGACGGUUUGGAAGGUCUUGAAUUCGAAUCGGGAUUUUAACCAAAGGGUUGUUUAUCUUUUGUCCGUUGUUCGAGAAUUUUUAUUUAGGUAUGAAUUUUGCCUGUCUCUGGUAGCAGAGAACGAAUGGACGCGCGCGUGGUCGAGGCUCGCGAAUAGCGGAUUCGUUGCAGCGAAUAGAGAAUGAGUGAAAACUAGCGACGCGUGUUUCGCGUGUGUCCUGAUCACAGGUACGAUAUCGUUAGAGCGAAAAAGAAGAAUGGGUGGCGCAGACUAAUUAGAAAAAUGGCAUUGUAAUCAUUCGUCUCGCUCGCGGCCUUUUGAAUACGCGUUCCUCUUGUAAUCACGAGCUCGCAUAUGCACUCUGUCGCACGACGCGUAUCGCGUAUCUACCUAUCGAAACUAAAAAUGCACGCGCACGAUCGAAACUUUGCUGCUAGACUUACAUUGUAACGCGAAGUUUAAAUAAACUAUGGAAAAA